Molecule: ribosomal RNA, 228 nt
Filed under: Alexandrium margalefii
Lineage: Eukaryota; Dinophyceae; Gonyaulacales; Pyrocystaceae
Description: partial Bacterial large subunit ribosomal RNA
Rfam family: Bacterial large subunit ribosomal RNA
Source: RNAcentral
AUAGUCCCGUACACGAAAGGUGAAUCAGAGGAGCAACAAAGAGUAGGACGAGGCACGUGAAACCUUGUUUGAACAUGGGGGGACCAUCCUCCAAGGCUAAAUACUCCUUACUGACCGAUAGUGAACCAGUACCGUGAGGGAAAGGCGAAAAGAACCCCGGAGAGGGGAGUGAAAUAGAACCUGAAACCGUAUACGUACAAGCAGUGGGAGCCCUUCGGGGUGACUGCG